AGUGAGUAGGCUAUAUACUUGAAAGUAUAGUAUUUCAAUACUUAAGAAUGUAUAGUUCAAUCAAAUGCUUUAAGAAUAUAGGCAGCUAACCCAUCCUGCCAUUUAAAAAAUGUCCUACUAAAAUUUUCAUUCCCACAUUUUGGUACCCUAAAUAAUUUUAGGAAGAAACAUCUGACUGACUUCCGUCAGAAGUUGGACAGGAUUUUAGCUUGUGCUCUGAGUGCUCAGACUUGCUGUGUGCCCUUCACACUGUUGGAAAGAAGGAAAAGGCCAUUCAGUGGAGAGCUGACAAAACUUCCAGGUGAAGGUCCUGACCAAAAGAAGACUGUACUUUGAAAAAAAUCACUCCAUUUCAGCAGGACAACUGGAUCAGCUCGAGAGGCAGGCUGGUAGUCUUGACAAACAAGAUCUAUGGGCAAUCAGAUGAGCACUGGGUCCCGCCAG
Long non-coding RNA from Bos indicus x Bos taurus (hybrid cattle), 444 nucleotides. Lineage: Eukaryota; Metazoa; Chordata; Mammalia; Artiodactyla; Bovidae. The record is from Ensembl.